This 253-nucleotide ribosomal RNA is filed under the name uncultured bacterium. RNAcentral's name for it is "partial 16S ribosomal RNA". It matches the Rfam family "Bacterial small subunit ribosomal RNA", at positions 524 to 776 of the family's 1533-position model. The record is from RNAcentral.
GACGUAGGGGGCGAGCGUUGUCCGGAUUCAUUGGGCGUAAAGCGCGCGUAGGCGGUUCGGCAAGUCGGAUGUGAAAACCCGGAGCUCAACUCCGGGCCUGCAUCCGAUACUCCCGGACUAGAGGUAGGUAGGGGAGAUCGGAAUUCCUGGUGUAGCGGUGAAAUGCGUAGAUAUCAGGAGGAACACCGGUGGCGAAGGCGGAUCUCUGGGCCUUACCUGACGCUCAGGCGCGAAGGCGUGGGGAGCAAACAGG